This 460-nucleotide ribosomal RNA is filed under the name uncultured bacterium. Its description in RNAcentral is "partial 16S ribosomal RNA". It matches the Rfam family "Bacterial small subunit ribosomal RNA", at positions 338 to 795 of the family's 1533-position model. The record is from RNAcentral.
CCUACGGGAGGCAGCAGUGAGGAAUAUUGGGCAAUGGGCGGAAGCCUGAACCAGCCAAGUAGCGUGCAGGAUGACGGCCCUACGGGUUGUAAACUGCUUUUAUACGGGAAUAACGCGCCUUACGUGUAGGGCUUUGCAUGUACCGUAAGAAUAAGGACCGGGUAAUUCCGUGCCAGCAGCCGCAGUAAUACGGAGGGUCCGGGCGUUGUCCGGAUUUAUUGGGUGGAAAGGGAGCGCAGGCCGCAUGUCAAGCGUGCUGUGAAAUGCACGGGCGCAACCCGGGCCUUGCAGCGCGAACUGGCGUGCUUGAGUACGCGAAAAGCAGGCGGAAUUCGUCGUGUAGCGGUGAAAUGCUUAGAUAUGACGAGGAACCCCGAUUGCGAAGGCAGCUUGCUGCAGCGGAACGGACGCUGAUGCUCGAAAGCGUGGGUAUCGAACAGGAUUAGAUACCCGUGUAGUC